Molecule: ribosomal RNA, 437 nt
Filed under: uncultured bacterium
Lineage: Bacteria
Description: partial 16S ribosomal RNA
Rfam family: Bacterial small subunit ribosomal RNA
Source: RNAcentral
AGCGAACGCUGGCGGCAGGCUUAACACAUGCAAGUCGAGCGGGCAUCCUUGUGGUGUCAGCGGCAGACGGGUGAGUAACGCGUGGGAACGUGCCCUUCGGUUCGGAAUAACUCAGGGAAACUUGAGCUAAUACCGGAUACGUGCGAGAGCAGAAAGGUUUAUCUGCCGAAGGAUCGGCCCGCGUCUGAUUAGCUAGUUGGUGAGGUUAUGGCUCACCAAGGCGACGAUCAGUAGCUGGUCUGAGAGGAUGAUCAGCCACACUGGGACUGAGACACGGCCCAGACUCCUACGGGAGGCAGCAGUGGGGAAUAUUGGACAAUGGGGGCAACCCUGAUCCAGCCAUGCCGCGUGAGUGAUGACGGCCUUAGGGUUGUAAAGCUCUUUUCUCCGGGACGAUAAUGACGGUACCGGGGGAAUAAGCCCCGGCUAACUUCGUG